This 183-nucleotide microRNA precursor is filed under the name Oryza nivara. RNAcentral's name for it is "MIR812 microRNA precursor family". It matches the Rfam family "MIR812 microRNA precursor family". The record is from Rfam by way of RNAcentral. Lineage: Eukaryota; Viridiplantae; Streptophyta; Magnoliopsida; Poales; Poaceae.
CCUAAUUGCAAGGGACUCCUUCCGUCCUUCGUCUUAUAUGAAAUUUUUUUAUAAUUAGUAUUUUUAUUGUUGUUAGAUGAUAAAAUAUGAUUAAUACUUUAUGCAUGACUUAUCUUUUUAAUUUUUUUCAUAAUUUUUUCAAAUAAGGUGGACGGUCAAACUUUGGACACGGAAAUCAGGGUU